Molecule: ribosomal RNA, 411 nt
Filed under: uncultured bacterium
Lineage: Bacteria
Description: bacterial SSU rRNA
Rfam family: Bacterial small subunit ribosomal RNA
Source: RNAcentral
GAACGAGAAAGUGGAGCAAUCCAUGAGUACAGUGGCGACCGGGUGAGUAACACGUGACUAACCUACCCUCGAGUGGGGAAUAACUCCGGGAAACCGGGGCUAAUACCGCAUAACAUCGCAAGAUCAAAGCAGCAAUGCGCUUGAGGAGGGGGUCGCGGCUGAUUAGCUAGUUGGCGGGGUAACGGCCCACCAAGGCGAAGAUCGGUAUCCGGCCUGAGAGGGCGCACGGACACACUGGAACUGAAACACGGUCCAGACUCCUACGGGAGGCAGCAGUGGGGAAUUUUGCGCAAUGGGGGAAACCCUGACGCAGCAACGCCGCGUGGAGGAUGAAGCCCUUUGGGGCGUAAACUCCUUUCGACUCGGACGAUAAUGACGGUACGAGUGGAAGAAGCACCGGCUAACUCUGUG